RNAcentral lists this ribosomal RNA (750 nucleotides) under uncultured bacterium. RNAcentral's name for it is "bacterial SSU rRNA". It matches the Rfam family "Bacterial small subunit ribosomal RNA", at positions 41 to 802 of the family's 1533-position model. The record is from RNAcentral.
GGGGCAAUAGAACUGCAAGUCGACGAACUUAACCAUUAGUUUACUAUUGGGAGCGGUUAGUGGCGGACUGGUGAGUAACACGUAAGCAACCUGCCUAUCAGAGGGGAACAACGGUUAGAAAUGACUGCUAAUACCGCAUAUGCCUUAGUAACACAUGUUACAAAAGGGAAAGAAGCAAUUCGCUGAUAGAUGGGCUUGCGUCUGAUUAGAUAGUUGGUGGGGUAACGGCCUACCAAGUCGACGAUCAGUAGCCGGACUGAGAGGUUGAACGGCCACAUUGGGACUGAGAUACGGCCCAGACUCCUACGGGAGGCAGCAGUCGGGAAUAUUGCGCAAUGGAGGAAACUCUGACGCAGUGACGCCGCGUGCAGGAAGAAGGUUUUCGGAUUGUAAACUGCUUUAGACAGGGAAGAAACAAGACAGUACCUGUAGAAUAAGCUCCGGCUAACUACGUGCCAGCAGCCGCGGUAAUACGUAGGGAGCAAGCGUUAUCCGGAUUUAUUGGGUGUAAAGGGUGCGUAGACGGGAAGUCAAGUUAGUUGUGAAAUCCCUCGGCUUAACUGAGGAACUGCAACUAAAACUAACUUUCUUGAGUGCUGGAGAGGAAAGUGGAAUUCCUAGUGUAGCGGUGAAAUGCGUAGAUAUUAGGAGGAACACCAGUGGCGAAGGCGACUUUCUGGACAGUAACUGACGUUGAGGCACGAAAGUGUGGGGAGCAAACAGGAUUAGAUACCCCGGUAGUCCACACCG